UACGUAGGUGGCAAGCGUUGUCCGGAAUUAUUGGGCGUAAAGCGCGCGCAGGCGGUCCUUUAAGUCUGAUGUGAAAGCCCACGGCUCAACCGUGGAGGGUCAUUGGAAACUGGGGGACUUGAGUACAGAAGAGAAGAGUGGAAUUCCACGUGUAGCGGUGAAAUGCGUAGAUAUCUGGAGGAACACCGGUGGCGAAGGCGGCAUUCUAGGACCGACAUUGACGGCUGAGGAGCGAAAGCCAGGGGAGCAAACGGG
This 255-nucleotide ribosomal RNA is filed under the name uncultured bacterium. RNAcentral's name for it is "partial 16S ribosomal RNA". It matches the Rfam family "Bacterial small subunit ribosomal RNA", at positions 524 to 776 of the family's 1533-position model. The record is from RNAcentral.